Molecule: long non-coding RNA, 1428 nt
Filed under: Monodelphis domestica (gray short-tailed opossum)
Lineage: Eukaryota; Metazoa; Chordata; Mammalia; Didelphimorphia; Didelphidae
Description: lncRNA (ENSMODG00000044765.1)
Source: RNAcentral
AUGGUAGUGGAAACUCUGGAGUAUGUAGGCAACAUUACAAUGAAUGUUUUACAAUUGCCAUUUCAACAUGAACUGGUUCUCUGGCAAGUCCUGGCACAAGUAUAUGUAAUCUUUAUGGCUAUGUCGCAGACUCUAACCCAAGUGAAGAAAGUAUUUAGAUUCAUGGUUCCCCUUAAGGCAGAGAAGAUUAUGGCUGUUGAUACCAACUUAGAGGGCAUUAUUAAGGCUUUACUUGAACAACUGAUCAAGGAAAAAGAACUAGAUCUAGUUAUGGGCAAGGACAAUGGGCAAACUGAAAAUAUACCUCAGGAAAAUCAAAAUGGCAAUGAAAAUGAAAACCAGGCUGCUAGUGACCCUGAGAAAAUCUAUCCUUUGAAGGAAGUCACUAAGCUAACCACUAAUGCUGGUGUAAUUCACUCAAAAGCCCAUAGACAAUUCUCCACACAGGAACUGGAGUCCAUAAAAUGCUGUUUCACAAAAUUUAUGGACAAUCCUUUUAAAUCCCAAAAGUUGCUGAAGAGAGCAUUCAGGAUCUUUGAUCCAGAUUUUGAAGAUGUCGCAUUCCUGUUGUCUGAGCUGUUCAUCCCCCAUGAACAGAGACGAUUUUUGGAGAAAACCAGAUCUGACAACAAUUUGACUAGAUGGCUAACUGUAGAACAAAGAGGGGAUAUGGACUUUGCCAAUCCAACUGGCAUGUCCUACCUGAAAAGGUGCAGGGAGGACUUGCUGCAGGCCAUUAAGCAAUACUGUUCGAAGCCAAAUGCAUGGGCCAAGAUUGACAAGAUCAGACAGGAUAAAGGGAAAUAUCCUGCCACAUACAUAGACUGUCUGUUAGAGACAGCAGAGUCAAUCCUAGGGCUAGAAGCCAAUACUGAAGAGACAGCUGGACACAUCCAUAGACAAUUUCUGAGGGGAUGCACACCCAAUUUGAGAAUAUUCUUCAAAAAUUAUUUCUGUAAGUAUGACUCAGUUUCCCUAAUUGAAUUGAGAGAGGCUGCUGGCUACCUAUUUGAAAAUAAUUCAGAUCAAACUAAACAAAUCCAAGAUCUGAAAGAUAAGUUAGAGAGGACAGAGAAUGAUUUGAAACAAAAGGAAAUUGAGGAAAUUAAAAAUCUGAACACGGUUAGGACUUAUACAAAAUCUAGUCCCCAGAAACCUAGUUACCAGGCAAGAUCAGUGCAAAGAGAAACUAGAGAGUGUUUCUUCUGUCACUGGAAAGGACACUUGAUUAGAAACUAUUUUUUAAAGAAGAAACAUGAGAGUAAUAACAAAGACAAACAUAAUGCACAAUCUAGGUACAAGAAGUCCACUUGUUGUUCACAUUGCAAGUUAAAGUCCUCACAAGCUCUGGACUUAAAUGAAAUGCAACUGGCUAUAAAAACUGGAGCAAAGCCAAAGUAUUCUGAUGUGGUCAGAAAACAGUUAUGA